This is a non-coding RNA of Manacus vitellinus (golden-collared manakin), 73 nucleotides long. NCBI's taxonomy places the organism in Eukaryota, Metazoa, Chordata, Aves, Passeriformes, Pipridae. The record is from Rfam.
CCCCUGGUGGUCUAGUGGUUAGGAUGUAGCACUCUCACCGCCACGGCCCGAGGUUCGAUUCCCGGUCAGGGAA